Molecule: long non-coding RNA, 237 nt
Filed under: Gossypium barbadense (sea-island cotton)
Lineage: Eukaryota; Viridiplantae; Streptophyta; Magnoliopsida; Malvales; Malvaceae
Description: long non-coding RNA (GBAR_LNC018516)
Source: RNAcentral
GCUGACUCUACAUGAUGCUAUUGUGAACAGUAGACGAAAGCUUAUUGUAACAACCCUUGCUCGAAUCCGUCACCAGAACAGGGUUACGGAGCAUCACUAGAGAUUACUAAUCAAACAGACAAAAAAUACAAACAUUUCAUAUCAUAUAGUAUGCAUGUCAAAAACCAAUCAAAUUCGUACAUAUUGUCCCUUAUACGACCCUUCGAGACCCAAAAUAAACAUUAGAAACAAAUCGGG